RNAcentral lists this ribosomal RNA (450 nucleotides) under uncultured bacterium. RNAcentral's name for it is "bacterial SSU rRNA". It matches the Rfam family "Bacterial small subunit ribosomal RNA", at positions 354 to 796 of the family's 1533-position model. The record is from RNAcentral.
GUGGGGAAUAUUGGACAAUGGGCGAAAGCCUGAUCCAGCCAUGCCGCGUGUGUGAAGAAGGUCUUCGGAUUGUAAAGCACUUUAAGUUGGGAGGAAGAGCAGUAAGUUAAUACCUUGCUGUUUUGACGUUACCGACAGAAUAAGCACCGGCUAACUUCGUGCCAGCAGCCGCGGUAAUACGAAGGGUGCAAGCGUUAAUCGGAAUUACUGGGCGUAAAGCGCGCGUAGGUGGUUUUGUAAGUUGGAGGUGAAAUCCCCGGGCUCAACCUGGGAACUGCCUCCAAAACUGCAUGACUAGAGUACGGUAGAGGGUAGUGGAAUUUCCUGUGUAGCGGUGAAAUGCGUAGAUAUAGGAAGGAACACCAGUGGCGAAGGCGACUACCUGGACUGAUACUGACACUGAGGUGCGAAAGCGUGGGGAGCAAACAGGAUUAGAUACCCGAGUAGUCC